Molecule: non-coding RNA, 107 nt
Filed under: bovine gut metagenome
Description: SAM riboswitch (S box leader)
Rfam family: SAM riboswitch aptamer (S box leader)
About the family: The SAM riboswitch is found upstream of a number of genes which code for proteins involved in methionine or cysteine biosynthesis in Gram-positive bacteria. The SAM riboswitch acts at the level of transcription termination control.
Source: RNAcentral
CUCAUCAAGAGCAGUGGAGGGACUGGCCCGAUGAAGCUGCGGAAACCAUUGAGCAAUCAAAAAGGUGCCAAUUCCUUUAGGUGAAUGAUUGAACCUAUAAGAUGAGA